Quercus robur (English oak) is the source of this 625-nucleotide long non-coding RNA. RefSeq lists it as uncharacterized. The transcript is spliced from 3 exons. The record is from RefSeq and is a predicted model, not a curated record. Lineage: Eukaryota; Viridiplantae; Streptophyta; Magnoliopsida; Fagales; Fagaceae.
UUCCACAUCUCUUAUCUCUUUUUCUGCCCCAAAAGUCUUCUCCUUGCCUUAUUUUCUUGGCUGCAUCAGAUCAAAAUUCCAGCCCCUCUUUCCCUACUCUUUUCCUUGUUCUUUGUUUCUUUCUUCUCCCCUUAUUACAUGGCAGCCCUCCCUCUCUCACCAAAGCAAAAUAUCCCACUCUAAAGAAGAAAUUAAAGGGUUAACACUAAAAUUUCAGCUUCAAAUUGUUGGGGGUGGCGAGAACGAGAACACGGACACUUGAACUCCUCGUAUACAAUCUCUCGCGCCUUUUGUUUUCAGUGCACAGGUUCUUCCUGAAAGCAGCGAGAGUAUUAGAGGUAGCAAGAAUUUUGUGUUUUCUCGUUUGUUAGAAUGUAGAGUUUUGUUGUAUCGCAGUUAGCUCUUUUGUUGUAUAGGAGGAAUCAAGAUGUACUUGAUCCUUUGAGCACGGAUGUAAUUCAGUACCUUAGUUUGUUUUGAACCCCAGUUGUAUGUCUUUGGGGUUAGGUUUGUAAUAAGAGUUUUGCUAAACGUUUAGCUAUGUAAUAUUUACGUGAAUACCUUAAGUUUCAGCCAGGUGGUAAUUUUCCAAGUUCAAAGGAAAUCAGAUUUCAAGGUUUCCAUC